This 272-nucleotide ribosomal RNA is filed under the name uncultured prokaryote. RNAcentral describes it as "partial 16S ribosomal RNA". It matches the Rfam family "Bacterial small subunit ribosomal RNA", at positions 524 to 796 of the family's 1533-position model. The record is from RNAcentral.
UACGGAGGGUGCGAGCGUUGUCCGGAUUUAUUGGGUUUAAAGGGUGCGUAGGCGGCGCGUUAAGUCAGCGGUGAAAUGUCCCGGCUCAACCGGGGGACUGCCGUUGAUACUGGCGUGCUUGAGUUACGGAGGGGUACAUGGAAUUUAUGGUGUAGCGGUGAAAUGCAUAGAUACCAUAAGGAACACCGAUAGCGUAGGCAUUGUACCGGCCGUAAACUGACGCUGAGGCACGAAAGCGUGGGUAGCGAACAGGAUUAGAAACCGUGUAGUCC